RNAcentral lists this ribosomal RNA (497 nucleotides) under uncultured bacterium. RNAcentral's name for it is "partial 16S ribosomal RNA". It matches the Rfam family "Bacterial small subunit ribosomal RNA", at positions 28 to 507 of the family's 1533-position model. The record is from RNAcentral.
GAUGAACGCUGGCGGCGUGCCUAAUACAUGCAAGUCGAGCGAACAGAUGAGGAGCUUGCUCCUCUGACGUUAGCGGCGGACGGGUGAGUAACACGUGGAUAACCUACCUAUAAGACUGGGAUAACUUCGGGAAACCGGAGCUAAUACCGGAUAAUAUAUUGAACCGCAUGGUUCAAUAGUGAAAGACGGUUUUGCUGUCACUUAUAGAUGGAUCCGCGCCGCAUUAGCUAGUUGGUAAGGUAACGGCUUACCAAGGCAACGAUGCGUAGCCGACCUGAGAGGGUGAUCGGCCACACUGGAACUGAGACACGUUCCAGACUCCUACGGGAGGCAGCAGUAGGGAAUCUUCCGCAAUGGGCGAAAGCCUGACGGAGCAACGCCGCGUGAGUGAUGAAGGUCUUCGGAUCGUAAAACCCUGUUAUUAGGGAAGAACAAAUGUGUAAGUAACUAUGCACGUCUUGACGGUACCUAAUCAGAAAGCCACGGCUAACUACGUG